RNAcentral lists this long non-coding RNA (341 nucleotides) under Phaseolus vulgaris (common bean). RNAcentral describes it as "long non-coding RNA (PVUL_LNC003489)". The record is from RNAcentral. Lineage: Eukaryota; Viridiplantae; Streptophyta; Magnoliopsida; Fabales; Fabaceae.
UUGCACAUGGCACAUGGCUUAGGUUUUACAUUUAAUUUUUGUUUUCUUUUCAUUAGAAAGUAGCUUACCUUUUACGUCCAAGAUGGCCUAUAAAUAGGAAGGCUAUCUCAUUGUAUUUUUCAAGUUUAAUUGAGUAUUGUUAUGCUGCCAAUUUUGUGCACUAGCUUUACUUCUCCUAGAAAUCUAGGCUAUAAACUUCAAUCCUUCACCUUUCUCCCUUGAGCUGGCCAAACCUCUCAAACCCAUACUCAUCAUGCACCUUCAAAGCCAACACAACUCCUAGGAGGGCUUUGUUUCACUCACCCAUUGCUUCCGCAUCAUUUUUCACUACUUUGAUUCAA